Paramormyrops kingsleyae is the source of this 492-nucleotide non-coding RNA. The record is from RefSeq and is a predicted model, not a curated record. NCBI's taxonomy places the organism in Eukaryota, Metazoa, Chordata, Actinopteri, Osteoglossiformes, Mormyridae.
CUCAGUCUAUGAUUUAUUUAUUCCGUGCAAUUCGACAUUUACCCAAAGACGGAUAAACCUACUGGACCAGGAGAAUUCCCUAACUGUUCUGAGAGGAAGAUGACCCGCCUGCUGGUUCUGGUGCUGGCUUGUGGAGCUCUGCUUAUCUCCACAGAGGCCCAGCAAGGCUACCACAGUCUCCCUGAUCUCUACAAGGAGGCCAUUAAACACGCAGUCAAAAAAGCUCAUCAAAGUACCCGUCAGCACAUGAAUUUCAAUGCCACCCAGGGCCAUCCAAAGAUCAGCAGUGAAUAUAUUGACAUUGAGAUCCUCUUGAGAGCAACAGAAUGUGUAAAGUCAGCUGUACCAGAUCAUCGGGAUGACUGCAUGUUUAUGACCAACAGGCCAUUUAUUAACUGUAGAGUUUGCAGCAAAUGGUCUGGUAAUGAUCUUACGGAUCCAUCAAUUGACUGUGCACCACAAAAGAGAGUGGAUAAAGACAAAAGACAGAAA